UGGCCUUCAGAUGUGUUCAGGCCAGGACUCUUAUCACACAUGUGAAGUUUGGGGAAGAUCAGACAUUUUAUGCCUGAGUUAUAACAACUUUUAUUCCCAUGGCGAGACAUCGAACUUCGUGACGGCGCCAUGGACACGCCUUUUUACGAAAACUCAAGAUCUUCACAAUUUAACAUCGCACAGGCCUUUAGAUUAGACUGACCACAAAAAAAAAUUGAUGUCAUAAAAUUUCUAGGAGUAGUUCAUCGCAGUGUAAAAUAUGUCACUUCCUGUUGCCAAUAGGUGGCGCUAUGACUAUAACUGAAUAUGGGCAUGUCAAUCUGUUCAUGUUAGGAGACUCAUCAAACAUGUGAAGUAUGGGGCAUAUUGGUCAUUGUAUGUCUGAGUUAUAGCAACUUCCUGUUUCAUGGCGAAUCAUCGAAAUUCGCCAGGCCGCCACGGACACGCCCAUUAACGAAAACUCAAAAGCUUCGCAAUUUAACAUCGCAAAGGCCUUCAGAUUAGGCAUACCAAAUUUGGUGUUGAUCUGAAUGAAUCUCUAGGAGGAGUUCGUUAAAAUACAACGCAUGGAAAUGACAAAAAUGACACAAAAUUUGCUCAUAAUAUUAGUAAUAACCGACUUCCUGUUGGGUUUUGGAUUUUGCUCCAAGAGACUUUUUUGUAGGUAUUGGAGAGUUACAUGUGUAUACCGAUUUUCAUACAUGUACAUGAAACGUAGCUCGAGGCGCACACCGUUGAACGUGUAUAGGUGGCGCUGUUGAGCCAUUUUGCCACACCCACUUCUGAAACCCAUAUCAGACGUAAAUUUUCGCCAGUUCUGAGGUGUGUGCAAAGUUUCAUGACUUUUCGAGCAUGUUUAGGCCCUCAAAAAUGCGAUUCAUCUUAGAGAAGAAGAAUAAUAAUAAUAAAUAUAGCUGCAAGCAGCGAUGGCGGGCUCAAGCCACCAAUGCCAUCGCCACCCCGGUGGCAUCAGGCAAACUGUGCCCAGCGGGCACAUGCAUUCACAAUAUCCCUCUGGCAGUGAGGUUUUAAAUGAUAUGGCAGUUAAAGGGUUAAUCCGAAUCAUCUAGACUUUAAAAUCACAUUCACAGAACAAUAUAUAUAUAUAUAUAUAUAUAUAUAUAUAUAUAUAUAUAUAUAACUUUAGUAACACUUUACAAUAAGAUUUC
This is a long non-coding RNA of Carassius gibelio (silver crucian carp), 1169 nucleotides long. RefSeq lists it as uncharacterized. Lineage: Eukaryota; Metazoa; Chordata; Actinopteri; Cypriniformes; Cyprinidae. The transcript has 3 exons. The record is from RefSeq and is a predicted model, not a curated record.